UGCCUCAGUAACGGCGAGUGAAGCGGCAACAGCUCAAAUUUGAAAUCUGGCUUCCGGGCCCGAGUUGUAAUUUGCAGAGGGAGUUUCGGAGGCGGCACCGGCCUAAGUCCCUUGGAACGGGGCGUCAUAGAGGGUGAGAAUCCCGUACGUGGCCGGUGGUCAAUUCCAUGUGAAACCCUUUCGACGAGUCGAGUUGUUUGGGAAUGCAGCUCAAAAUGGGUGGUAAAUUUCAUCUAAAGCUAAAUACCGGCCAGAGACCGAUAGCGCACAAGUAGAGUGAUCGAAAGAUGAAAAGCACUUUGGAAAGAGAGUUAAAAAGUACGUGAAAUUGUUGAAAGGGAAGCGCUUGCGACCAGACUUGCCCGCGGGUGAUCAGCCCCCCUUCGGGAGGGUGCACUCGCCCGUGGUCAGGCCAGCAUCGGUUUUGGCGGGCGGAUAAAGGCUCCAGGAAUGUAGCUCCCCUCGGGGAGUGUUAUAGCCUGGGGUGCCAUGCGCCCCGCCGGGACCGAGGACCGCGCUUCGGCUAGGAUGCUGGCGUAAUGGUCGUAAGCGACCCGUCUUGAAACACGGACCAAGGAGUCUAACAUCUGUGCGAGUGUUUGGGUGUCAAACCCAUGCGCGGAAUGAAAGUGAACGGAGGUGGGAGCCCCUUCCGGGGGGCGCACCAUCGACCGAUCCUGAUGUCUUCGGAUGGAUUUGAGUAGGAGCAUAGCUGUUGGGACCCGAAAGAUGGUGAACUAUGCCUGGAUAGGGUGAAGCCAGAGGAAACUCUGGUGGAGGCUCGCAGCGGUUCUGACGUGCAAAUCGAUCGUCAAAUCUGGGUAUAGGGGCGAAAGGUCAGUGCAUUUAUUCCUUUUGUGGUAGAGUCAGGGUGGAGACGUGCUAACAAUUU
This 892-nucleotide ribosomal RNA is filed under the name Aspiciliella intermutans. RNAcentral's name for it is "eukaryotic LSU rRNA". It matches the Rfam family "Eukaryotic large subunit ribosomal RNA", at positions 76 to 937 of the family's 3401-position model. Lineage: Eukaryota; Fungi; Ascomycota; Lecanoromycetes; Pertusariales; Megasporaceae. The record is from RNAcentral.